CUCACUUGAGAAGCUUCGUCCCAUAGUCCCAUAUCCGCAUACAUGUUAUAUAA
Molecule: small RNA, 53 nt
Filed under: Arabidopsis thaliana (thale cress)
Lineage: Eukaryota; Viridiplantae; Streptophyta; Magnoliopsida; Brassicales; Brassicaceae
Description: ATSL061870
Source: RNAcentral